This 249-nucleotide ribosomal RNA is filed under the name Typhlops sp. SBH-2014a. RNAcentral's name for it is "partial 16S ribosomal RNA". It matches the Rfam family "Bacterial large subunit ribosomal RNA", at positions 1797 to 2102 of the family's 2925-position model. The record is from RNAcentral. Lineage: Eukaryota; Metazoa; Chordata; Lepidosauria; Squamata; Typhlopidae.
CGCCUGUUUAUCAAAAACAUAGCCUUUAGCCAAACAAGUAUUGAAGGUAAUGCCUGCCCAGUGAAGCCACUUUCAACGGCCGCGGUACCCUAACCGUGCAAAGGUAGCGUAUCAUUUGUCCACUAAUUAUGGACCUGUAUGAAAGGCCACAUGAGAAUCUAACUGUCUCUUGUAACUAAUUUAUAAAACUGAUCUUCCAGUCCAAAAGCUAGAAUAUUUAUAUAAGACGAGAAGACCCUGUGAAGCUUA